AAUCUGACAGAUUUUCAAGUUUCUUUCAACAGGUGUGAAAAUGAACAAUUUACUUCCUUCUUUUAAUGAAAACUUUGAUUUUCACGCAGUAUUAACAUCACUGAAAAAGUCCACAGCCAGCACGGAGAUGGCUCUCCUAAUGAAUGCAUUUAGCUGCUUGGCUGCUGGCUUGGACUGAAUGCAGUCCCUGGGCCAGGCCUGUGCUGCUUUGAAGGGAAAACGUUUCUUCUCUCAUCAUUUGCAGUCACUGGAACAUUCAUAAAUGAAGGCUGCAGCAGGGUAUGGCCACUGAGACGAAACAUCUCAUUUUCAAGAACAUCUUCGGGGAUGAUGGCAAAUCACAGACACCCACAGCGAUGCGCUCGACGUUAAAGAAUAUAGUGUAAAAUCAAAUAUGACAAGCAGAGGGCCUGUUUUUGUUUCAUUGCUUUUUCUUAUAAACAGAACAAUACAUUUGCUUAAAAGCUAGAUAAAUUGUGAAAGGAUGUAAUAUUCUGUACUGUGUUGUUCUGGUCCAAUGGCUUAGAAUAACUAAAGAAUCGUAUUUGGUUUUUACUUUAGAGAAUUUAAACUCCAUCACCUUCACAGCUCUCAGUCUGCAUCGGUUAUUGAACAGGAACUGAUAUUGUGCUAGCUGAAGAAAUAAGAACCCAAUAAACAGCAAAACAGCUUUAUGCAACUGGAUUUCUUUCAUUCUUGUCCUGGAGUUUCCUGCUGCUGCUUUAUGUAAGACACUUUUGUGGACUCUUGUUUUUCUCUUACAUAAAGAGUUCUUUUUUUUUUUUUUUUUUUUCCAUUUCACCAACUUUUAUUUGAGAUAUUUUUUUAUUUUUUUUUCCAAAUAAAAUAUUCUCAAACCUUGCAUCAUGUCACAGAAAUAAUCCCAGGACCAAAACAUACCAAUGACAUCAAAGGUCUUCUUUUGCUGAAAUAAAAACACAGACACUUAAAUAAAAUCAGUCCUCCUCCCAUCGAAGCAACAAUAAACUGAGAAUUACCCCACUGGUAAAUGUGCAUCCGAAGUCCACAACAAUUUAAUGGCUCAGUGUAAGAUUUUCCUUGCAAAGAAUGACAUGCUCCAUGUUUUUAUUUCCUUUGGCAAUACUGACUUUCUUGAUGUCUAUUUGCAAAAAAAGACAGACAGAAAGAAAGAAAAGCAGGAAUCACACAGAGAUGCACAGCUCCCAUGUAGAGGCUUAGUUACAUAUUUUAAAGGCUUUGGACUCAGUCCCUCACCUUAUCUGGAUCAGUAUGGUUUUACUGAGUUCAGUACCACAUCACACCACUGAGACUUCAGCUUUCCGUGCUUCACUGAAGUCCCCAUACUGUGCAGUGAGUCACAGGUUAGACAUACUUCAGUGUUUAGGGUUAUGGCGAGAACUGCCCAGUUCUCACUUUCUCUCAUGCCCGAGCCUUCAUUUCAAAGCAGAGGACUGCCUGGGCCUGAGUGUACGUGCCUGGAGCGCAGCAGGAUCCCAGCAAGGCCUGAUUCCUCCAGCAGGCACCUGCAGCAAUCGCCUCGAAAAUAAAUCUGUAUAGUGAAGGGAGAGAGGACCGAUGUGUAAAGGGAGAGGAACAGAGGCAAUCUCAGUACUUCCAAAGACAACCUGAGAUUGAAUUUACAAAACUUGAAGCAAAAGCACAAGAUGUUUUUCAGCAGCACAAAACAGAAAUUAGAAGCGAGGCACUAUGGAUCCAGAAUUUGUUUUCAAACAAGAGCAAUGAGUUAUCAUGAGAGCAAAAGACAGAUGAUGGGAACGAGCUGGAAAUCAUAGUGGAAACAAAGCUUGAGUUCAGUGCACUUGAUUCAGAGAAACUGGAUGAUCUCACCUCAGUGUUCUGAAAAAUACUGGCACAAAAAAAAUGGCAAGACGGGUGUUCCAGAAAGAAAACAAAGCGCUUAGAUCUAGUCUAGACUCAUUAGUCUGUCUCAAUAAUAUUCAGGGUUUAAAACUGAUUCUGAAGAAAAUGAUAAUUAAAGACAUGAAUGUGAAGGGAAAAUGUGAUAAAACACAACACAAGUGAUUUUAAGGUAGCUUCUGCCAGGUUGUCUUUAAUGAGACAACAAAUCGACUUAACAAAGAAAACGUUUCCAUUAAAACUCUCCGGUCUUCAGUAGGUUAUAUUGGUCUAGGUCAUGUAGGAAUCCUUUCUUUGAGAUGGCAAAUAUAGGGUCAGUUGCAAAAGUGAAAGGUGAGUGAAAAGCUGUCUUAGAGAUAGCAGUGUGGAAGGAAAAGGAGGCAAUGAGUAAUCCUGCAAGAAGUGUGUGGCUGGAGGGAUGUUACUUGGCAAGACUCCAAAGUCUUAAUAUUUUGAUAAUGACCCUGUCAAAACCUUUAGAACUGUGCAGAUAAAUUAGGUAGUGACCUAAUAUUAGGCAUCACAUAAUGAAUACUGAGGAAUAGCAGUGUACCAUACAAAAGUCAUAAAUGACUCUUCAGGCUGGAGUAAAGGAAAGGGAUGAAAUCCUGUAGUACCAAAAGUGAGAUCAUGCACUUCGGAACGCAUUCCCCAGUUUUCAGUCAGACCCAUUGCUGGCUUCAAACACAGGGAUUUGCACAGUCAUGGCAACCUAACAGAGGUAUUAUCUAAUUGUUAUUGAUAAGAGUGGGAAGGAGGCUCUAAAACAUACUUUAAUCAUAUUAUAUAAACCCCAGUCCUUUUUCCCACCUGGCAAAGCCAACAGAGGGAACAUGUGGUACUCUGCUCCAGAGAGAAUGGGCAUCUUAUAGUAGCACAAACACCUUCUGUGGAUCACUGCUGCCAACACAGGACCAGAACGGUCACUGGAGACCCCUGUGCUAGCAGGGACCUGCCACCAGCUGCUGACCACCCAAACAGGACAGUCUGUCACCAUACACAGGCUGGGCACCAGGCAUGGUGGGGCCACAGGAGCCUCAAUGGUGUCGGGACACAAGGGCUGCCUUACCACAAGUUUCUCGACAGUCCUGUUCAGGAACAGGGGGUUUGGAGCAGGUUCAGCAACAACAGAUGGUCAGUCUCAAGGGAUAGGCUUUGGAGCAGAGCUCUCCUAAGUCACUCUGUAAAAAAUAGCAGUAGCUAUUUUUCUACUCUAAAGUGGAUGUGGUUGGCACCUAUUUGGUGAGUUUUCUUGUGCCAUGGAGGGCAUGGGCACAGAUGACAGUUUGCAGGGCAUUUUUUUCUUGAGGCUCAGCAAAGCCUCAAGGAGAAGCAAUAGCCAAAACUCAGGUGGAAGCCAACUCUGAAUUUGUUCCAUUGACAUAUUGCUUCACUGCCACAGAGUAAGCAGUAGAAUCCAGAUCUAAGCAUAUGUGUUUGCAAAAUAACAAAUGCAUUUCCCAGAGCUAGAGAUACUAUGCAUAAACUGAACAGAGGCAGUUUGGGUUAACUUGGCUAUAGAUCCUCCACAGAGCCAGAAUUUGAGUCCUCACACGUAGUGGGGUAGAGGAAAAGGAGCCAGCUUUUAGCUUGCUGAGUAGCUGCUAAAUAGCAUUUAAAAUAAUCUUUGUAGAUCAUUUGCAAUGAGUAAAUCUGAUUCUAUAAGGAUCUCUGAAGGACUUAAAAAAUAAGAGCUGUCAAUACCAAGUUAUAGCAAAGAAAGUAGAAAGCUAGCUCUGCAUGUGAAUAAACUAUGAAAGCAUCAGUAAUGAGUCAGAGAAUAACCCACCCCAAAAUCUCCACAGCCAGAAAAAUAAAUUUAGAGAAUAUUUUUCAGCUUUGAAGGAAAGAGUAUCAUAGCUUUAUCCAAUUUCCAUGUUAUGACCUCAAAUCUAAAGUUAAAACAAUGACUUUGCAUUACUGCUGCAAUACCAAUGUCUUGUCUGUAAGAAAUGAACAGAAAGAGUUGUCAGAACAAUGGGAAUCCUGAUGACAUGGUACCAGCAAGGAGCUUAGUAAAGACCCCACCACAUCUAUAAUACAUGGGUUGAAAUCAUGUUUUAAAUUUAUUGUUCAAUUACAGCUUCAGGCUCUUGGAGUUCACUGCUGCCAAGAAAUAUAUAUGACAUUAAAUUAUGGAAUAUUUUGUUAAAUAUUUUAAUACAUUUGAGUACUUGUAACACUUGAUUUAAGUAUAUUAUUCAAAGAACAGAAAACAUUGCUCUUUCCUAAUUAAAAGUGUGAGUCAGCAAACCCAAUAAAAUGCUUACUCUGGUGCUGGAAGAAACUGAAGAGUGAGAAAAAUCCUAUUAGAAAGUCCCCUGUUAUCCUGGCAAUGCCUGACUGAGUGACAUCUCAAUGCAUUUUUGCUGAGUUAAGCCCUACAAACCCAUCCACUUGUGGCACAGGAUGUCAUUUCACCAUUAAUUUAUUUGAUUUAUCCAGAGAUUAAUGGACAUGUGAGAUGUCAGUUAAAAUUUCAGAGCACGUUGGCAUGCUCUGUCAACUAGUGGUAGGCUACAUUAGCAGGAAUGUAGGUGCUCUUUGAGGGGUGGAAGGACACAAAAUUCAGGUGGGACUGACUUCCAGUGGUGGGAAGGGCCCUGCAGACAAUUGACAGUGCUUUCCUGCUGUUCCACCCAAUGGAGCUUAUAGAAAAUCUCAUUAAAAAAAAACAAAAAACAAAAAACAAA
Molecule: non-coding RNA, 4553 nt
Organism: Phasianus colchicus (ring-necked pheasant)
Lineage: Eukaryota; Metazoa; Chordata; Aves; Galliformes; Phasianidae
Source: RefSeq, a predicted model, not a curated record